CAUUGGUUUCUCCUUUCUGACGAACCAUGAUGUCAUUAAUUUGGUGUUAUGGGGAGUUAGGACUGUUACUUUGAAAAAAUUAGAGUGUUUAAAGCAGGCAUUAGCUUGAAUACAUUAGCAUGGAAUAAUGAAAUAGGACGUUCGAUCCUAUUUUGUUGGUUUCUAGGAUCAACGUAAUGAUUAAUAGGGAUAGUUGGGGGCAUUAGUAUUCGAUUGUCAGAGGUGUAAUUCUUGGAUUUAUUGAAGACUAACUACUGCGAAAGCAUUUGCCAAGGAUGUUUUCAUUAAUCAAGAACGAAAGUUAGGGGAUCGAAGACGAUCAGAUACCGUCGUAGUCUUAACCAUAAACUAUGCCGACUAGGGAUCGGAUGAUGUUAAUUUUUUAAUGACUCAUUCGGCGCCUUACG
Molecule: ribosomal RNA, 407 nt
Filed under: uncultured Glomeromycotina
Lineage: Eukaryota; Fungi; Glomeromycota
Description: SSU rRNA
Rfam family: Eukaryotic small subunit ribosomal RNA
Source: RNAcentral